CAGCAGCCACGGGAAUACGGAGGGUGCAAGCGUUAAUCGGAAUUACUGGGCGUAAAGCGCACGCAGGCGGUCUGACAAGUCAGAUGUGAAAUCCCCGGGCUUAACCUGGGAACUGCAUUUGAAACUGUCAGGCUGGAGUCUUGUAGAGGGGGGUGGAAUUCCAGGUGUAGCGGUGAAAUGCGUAGAGAUCUGGAGGAAUACCGGUGGCGAAGGCGGCCCCCUGGACAAAGACUGACGCUCAGGUGCGAAAGCGUGGGGAGCAAACAGGAUUAGAUACCCGUGUAGUCCCUGUCUCUUAUAA
RNAcentral lists this ribosomal RNA (301 nucleotides) under uncultured bacterium. RNAcentral describes it as "partial 16S ribosomal RNA". It matches the Rfam family "Bacterial small subunit ribosomal RNA", at positions 509 to 809 of the family's 1533-position model. The record is from RNAcentral.